GAUGAACGCUGGCGGCGUGCCUAAUACAUGCAAGUCGAGCGAACGGACGAGAAGCUUGCUUCUCUGAUGUUAGCGGCGGACGGGUGAGUAACACGUGGAUAACCUACCUAUAAGACUGGGAUAACUUCGGGAAACCGGAGCUAAUACCGGAUAAUAUUUUGAACCGCAUGGUUCAAAAGUGAAAGACGGUCUUGCUGUCACUUAUAGAUGGAUCCGCGCUGCAUUAGCUAGUUGGUAAGGUAACGGCUUACCAAGGCAACGAUGCAUAGCCGACCUGAGAGGGUGAUCGGCCACACUGGAACUGAGACACGGUCCAGACUCCUACGGGAGGCAGCAGUAGGGAAUCUUCCGCAAUGGGCGAAAGCCUGACGGAGCAACGCCGCGUGAGUGAUGAAGGUCUUCGGAUCGUAAAACUCUGUUAUUAGGGAAGAACAUAUGUGUAAGUAACUGUGCACAUCUUGACGGUACCUAAUCAGAAAGCCACGGCUAACUACGUGCCAGCAGCCGCGGUAAUACGUAGGUGGCAAGCGUUAUCCGGAAUUAUUGGGCGUAAAGCGCGCGUAGGCGGUUUUUUAAGUCUGAUGUGAAAGCCCACGGCUCAACCGUGGAGGGUCAUUGGAAACUGGAAAACUUGAGUGCAGAAGAGGAAGGUGGAAUUCCAUGUGUAGCGGUGAAAUGCGCAGAGAUAUGGAGGAACACCAGUGGCGAAGGCGACUUUCUGGUCUGUAACUGACGCUGAUGUGCGAAAGCGUGGGGAUCAAACAGGAUUAGAUACCCUGGUAGUCCACGCCGUAAACGAUGAGUGCUAAGUGUUAGGGGGUUUCCGCCCCUUAGUGCUGCAGCUAACGCAUUAAGCACUCCGCCUGGGGAGUACGACCGCAAGGUUGAAACUCAAAGGAAUUGACGGGGACCCGCACAAGCGGUGGAGCAUGUGGUUUAAUUCGAAGCAACGCGAAGAACCUUACCAAAUCUUGACAUCCUUUGACAACUCUAGAGAUAGAGCUUUCCCCUUCGGGGGACAAAGUGACAGGUGGUGCAUGGUUGUCGUCAGCUCGUGUCGUGAGAUGUUGGGUUAAGUCCCGCAACGAGCGCAACCCUUAAGCUUAGUUGCCAUCAUUAAGUUGGGCACUCUAAGUUGACUGCCGGUGACAAACCGGAGGAAGGUGGGGAUGACGUCAAAUCAUCAUGCCCCUUAUGAUUUGGGCUACACACGUGCUACAAUGGACAAUACAAAGGGCAGCGAAACCGCGAGGUCAAGCAAAUCCCAUAAAGUUGUUCUCAGUUCGGAUUGUAGUCUGCAACUCGACUACAUGAAGCUGGAACCGCUAGUAAUCGUAGAUCAGCAUGCUACGGUGAAUACGUUCCCGGGUCU
RNAcentral lists this ribosomal RNA (1372 nucleotides) under uncultured bacterium. Its description in RNAcentral is "bacterial SSU rRNA". It matches the Rfam family "Bacterial small subunit ribosomal RNA", at positions 28 to 1381 of the family's 1533-position model. The record is from RNAcentral.